AACGAACGCUGGCGGCAUGCCUAACACAUGCAAGUCGAACGAGACCUUCGGGUCUAGUGGCGCACGGGUGCGUAACGCGUGGGAACCUGCCCUUAGGUUCGGCAUAACUCUCCGAAAGGGGUGCUAAUACCGGAUAAUGUCUUCGGACCAAAGAUUUAUCGACUUUGGUUGGGCCCGCGUUGGAUUAGCUAGUUGGUAGGGUAAAAGCCUACCAAGGCGCCGAUCCAUAGCUGGUCUGAGAGGAUGAUCAGCCACACUGGGACUGAGACACGGCCCAGACUCCUACGGGAGGCAGCAGUGGGGAAUAGUGGACAGUGGGCGGAAGGCUGAUCCAGCAAGGCCGCGUGAGUGAUGAAGGCCUUAGGGUUGUAAAGCUCUUUUACCCGGGAUGAUAAUGACGGUACCGGGAGAAUAAGCUCCGGCUAACUCCGUG
Molecule: ribosomal RNA, 433 nt
Filed under: uncultured bacterium
Lineage: Bacteria
Description: partial 16S ribosomal RNA
Rfam family: Bacterial small subunit ribosomal RNA
Source: RNAcentral